Non-coding RNA from Drosophila melanogaster (fruit fly), 659 nucleotides. The record is from Ensembl. Lineage: Eukaryota; Metazoa; Arthropoda; Insecta; Diptera; Drosophilidae.
GAAUCAUUCAAUCCUUACCUUUAGGUGUUGUGUCAGUAUCUAAUGCAUGCAAUCUAAUUCAAUGGGCUGGGGAUUUCAACAGCUAUUUACACACAGAAAGCCUGUUGAGAACAUUCAACUCGCACUUUUCGUUCGCUAAUCUAAAUUAAUGCCUCUCACUGCGAAUCGGAAUAGGCUGUGCAGCGAUGUUUUAUCAUUCAAUUAAAAAAAGGGAGGAAAGCAGCUAAAAACGCGUGCAUGGCAAAUGCGCGAAAUAAACCAGAGGAUUUUCGCACAUUCCCCUCUACGUAAAAAUAGUGGGCGGAAGAGUGGAAGCAAUUUGCACCACCCAACGGACGGAAUAAUGAAGUGUUUAGUUGAUUAUCUAAACGCACGGCGCCGUAUCCGGAUCCGGGAGCACUGGGCCUAGUAGUGCUGGAAUUGCUUGGGGUUUUCGGGUAGCGGUUGAGUCAAUAAUGCGCCAAAUAAACAGCUAACAAGUUGGUAAUAAAAGAACUCUAAAAUUGCCCGAGGUCCGACCGAUUUGGUAGAAUGCCAGGCCCCACCCAUCGAGCAUUUAUUCACCCACACGCAACUGCAGGUAGUGGCAGGUAACACCGGCCUGAAAAGUUCCAAACAAAAGCACAGCCGUCGGCCAUGGCGAAUAUAGCCAUAUAUAG